This 523-nucleotide ribosomal RNA is filed under the name uncultured bacterium. Its description in RNAcentral is "bacterial SSU rRNA". It matches the Rfam family "Bacterial small subunit ribosomal RNA", at positions 777 to 1297 of the family's 1533-position model. The record is from RNAcentral.
AAUAGAUACCCCGGUAGUCCACGCCGUAAACGAUGAGUGCUAAGUGUUAGAGGGUUUCCGCCCUUUAGUGCUGCAGCUAACGCAUUAAGCACUCCGCCUGGGGAGUACGGCCGCAAGGCUGAAACUCAAAGGAAUUGACGGGGGCCCGCACAAGCGGUGGAGCAUGUGGUUUAAUUCGAAGCAACGCGAAGAACCUUACCAGGUCUUGACAUCCUCUGCCAACCCUAGAGAUAGGGCGUUCCCCUUCGGGGGGACAGAGUGACAGGUGGUGCAUGGUUGUCGUCAGCUCGUGUCGUGAGAUGUUGGGUUAAGUCCCGCAACGAGCGCAACCCUUGAUCUUAGUUGCCAGCAUUCAGUUGGGCACUCUAAGGUGACUGCCGGUGACAAACCGGAGGAAGGUGGGGAUGACGUCAAAUCAUCAUGCCCCUUAUGACCUGGGCUACGCACGUGCUACAAUGGAUGGUACAAAGAGCUGCGAACCCGCGAGGGUAAGCGAAUCUCAUAAAGCCAUUCUCAGUUCGGA